UUGCGUUAGGGAUUGCAGAGGAAAGCCCACAGCCCGACGAAGGAGGUGCGAGGACUUGUAACGGAAAGCCCGACCCCGC
RNAcentral lists this small RNA (79 nucleotides) under Jejuia pallidilutea. RNAcentral describes it as "Flavo-1 RNA". The record is from RNAcentral. Lineage: Bacteria; Pseudomonadati; Bacteroidota; Flavobacteriia; Flavobacteriales; Flavobacteriaceae.